AACGAACGCUGGCGGCAUGCCUAACACAUGCAAGUCGAACGAGACCUUCGGGUCUAGUGGCGCACGGGUGCGUAACGCGUGGGAACCUGCCCUUAGGUUCGGAAUAACUCAGAGAAAUUUGAGCUAAUACCGGAUAAUGUCUUCGGACCAAAGAUUUAUCGCCUUUGGAUGGGCCCGCGUAGGAUUAGCUUGUUGGUGGGGUAAUGGCCUACCAAGGCGACGAUCCUUAGCUGGUCUGAGAGGAUGAUCAGCCACACUGGGACUGAGACACGGCCCAGACUCCUACGGGAGGCAGCAGUGGGGAAUAUUGGACAAUGGGCGAAAGCCUGAUCCAGCCAUGCCGCGUGAGUGAUGAAGGCCUUAGGGUUGUAAAGCUCUUUUACCAGGGAUGAUAAUGACAGUACCUGGAGAAUAAGCUCCGGCUAACUCCGUG
RNAcentral lists this ribosomal RNA (433 nucleotides) under uncultured bacterium. Its description in RNAcentral is "partial 16S ribosomal RNA". It matches the Rfam family "Bacterial small subunit ribosomal RNA", at positions 29 to 507 of the family's 1533-position model. The record is from RNAcentral.